UGAGUAACGCGUGGGUAACCUACCCCAAAGUCCGGGAUAACAGCGGGAAACCGCUGCUAAUACCGGAUGCCUUUACCUUGGGGCAUCUUGAGGUAAAGAAAGGCAACGCUUUGGGAUGGGCCCGCGUCCCAUUAGCUAGUUGGUGAGGUAACGGCUCACCAAGGCGACGAUGGGUAGCCGGCCUGAGAGGGUGGACGGCCACACUGGGACUGAGACACGGCCCAGACUCCUACGGGAGGCAGCAGUAGGGAAUACUGCGCAAUGGACGGAAGUCUGACGCAGCGACGCCGCGUGAGCGAUGAAGGUCUUCGGAUCGUAAAGCUCUGUCCUUGGGGAAGAAGGCGAAAGCUUGACGGUACCCAAGAAGAAAGCCCCGGCUAACUACGUGCCAGCAGCCGCGGUAAUACGUAGGGGGCGAGCGUUGUCCGGAAUUACUGGGCGUAAAGGGUGCGUAGGCGGCCCUUUAAGUCGGAUGUGAA
Molecule: ribosomal RNA, 479 nt
Filed under: uncultured bacterium
Lineage: Bacteria
Description: bacterial SSU rRNA
Rfam family: Bacterial small subunit ribosomal RNA
Source: RNAcentral